UAAUUUUCCCUUUCUUCGGAAACUUUAAAGAUUAAUUAAUAAGGGAAAACCAAAUUGACACUUUAUGUGCACUCUAAAAGUACUAUUCUAGUAGUCAAAAAUAAUUAAAAGAAAAGGUAUUAAAAUACUUAUUUUGCUUUAAGAAAAAUUUUUUUAUAUUCCUGAUUACUAGUGAGAUUGAGCAUUUUUGUAUGUAUGUUACUAUUUACAUUUUUAAUGAAUUAUUCAUAUCCUUUGUCCAUUUUUAAUCCUUUUCUUAUUAUGCAAAAGCUCUCUUUUUAGAAUGGAUAUUAAUCUCUUACCUACUAUAUAUUGUGCAGACAUUUUCUUCAUGUCUACUUUAACUUUAUCUUAUUGUUCCCAUACAGAAGUUUUACAUUUUUGUAGUGUAGUGAAAUCUGUCAGUCUUGUCCUUUAUGACUUCCAGGUUUUGUGUCAUAAUAGGAAGAACUUCCCUGUACCAAAUGCCUUAGAGGAGGCCAAACUGCCAAAAUAAGUAGGCCCAACAUGUGAUGGCCCAAAUAACAUAGAAGUUUGUUUUGUUCUCUAAAUAGUUCAGGACAGUCAUUCCAGGUUGAAAGAAGAAGGUAGGUUCUAUUCAAAUACAGUCAUUCAGGGGCUCAGACUGACACUGUCAUCUUUAACAUAUGGUUUUGAAGGUCACUCUGGCUGUGGAAGGAUGUACACAGGAGGCUUACAGGCUAGAGCCACAAGUUGCAUACAAACUUUCUGCUUAUAUUCCUUUGAGGAGAACUUCAUUAUAGGACCACAUUUAAUUGCAAGGGAGGCUCGGGGAUGUAGGAAAGCUGGAUAUAUGAAAGAAGGGAGAAUGGGUUGUAGAAAUCUAGCAUUCUCUACCACAGUUCUUCCCUCUGUCCCACACAUGGAAUAGAGUUACUUCUUCCCCAAGAGAAAGAACGCAAAGUCCAAUCCAGAUACUGCAUUCAGCUCAAAGUCCAGUCUGAAACAUCUCAGUUUCCUUAACUUAUUAAUAUUAGUUCUCUAGUGAAGACGGGUUGUUUUUACCUGCCAGCAUCUGUUUCCUGUAUUAACAUUUUCUGUGUAAAGAAACACCUCUACCCAAUUUUCAGUCCAUAGAGUCCACAGAGGCUCACCAUCCUCCCAUCCAGACUCUAGCGGUGGGUCAGUUACUCAGGCUAGAAUAUUCCAUUGUGCUGGCCAUAGUAAUGAGUUCAAUGGUGACCAUGUGACUCAUGUUAUUCCGAAGGAUGUCAGCCCAGAAUUUUUGCUGAGUCACUGGAAAGUGGUGCUGUCUUUUCACUGGCGUUCCUAGCAGACGCCGUCAGCCGGUCCAGCGAGUGACCCGCGAGGACCAGCCUGCGUUUCUCUAACUGCGAGAAUUGUUGUCCCCUGGGUCGGCCACUGUCGCGAUCGCAGACAAGCGAGAGCCCAGAAAGUGAGUGAUUCCGAGGAAGAGAGCAGGUCCCCCCACGCCCACCCCGAGGACCUCGCUGGAGCGGUCGGUCUGCGAGUUUUAUGUUACGACCCAAUUCCAAGUCAAGUGUGAACAAAGCAAAUGCGGGCAGUGCGUCUAGUAAACCUGUGGACCCCCUCCUCCCACUCCCAUUGCCCGCUGUCCGCCUCCCUCCUCCCCCAGCCCCAUCCUCCCUCUGGCGCCGCGAGCCAGGGAGCGCUGCCCGUCGGCUGCAGGAGAGGAGAGGGAGCCGGAAUCGCAGCCGAACCUACCUCGCCUGCCCCGCAUGCGGGCCUGCGUGAAGUCAAGAGUGCUGGACUCCCGCGAAAGUGGCGGUGAGGCGCUUGGGCCCUGGCCUAGAGAUGCUGAAACUGAAGAUUUUUGUCCUAAGAGAGACGAAUUGGACUUAGAAGAUUCUAAAGUGAAAAAAAGCAACAAAGAGGCUUCAAGGCAGAAAGUGGUGGGACAAAGUGAAACUUCCAGGACCUCCUUUGGAGGAACCAAACAAUAGACUAGUGGUGAUGGUGGGCAAAGCCGUGAAAGUUUGGGCGGGAGAGUGGGGAAAUGUGGAGAUGUUCACAGAGACGCCUGGGGAAAUUACCCCAGAAGCAAGUUUUUGGUGAAAGUACCAUCCUUGCUGUCUUCAUGAACCACACAGGGGAGAAUGGAAAAAGCUCUGGACAGAGCUCUAACGUGGUGUGAUAUCAGAAGACACGUGCCGGAGAAAAGCCCUACCAGUGUAAGGAAUGUGGCACACGUUCCAGCCAGAGCAGAGCUGGGAGUCCACACCCAGGAGAGCCUCAGGGUGUGCAGUGAGGAGGGAGAAAGCUUUGCUUCUGGCUCACACCUCACCAUGCCCCACUCCAGGAAGAGGCCAUAUCGUUGCCUUGACUGUAAGAAAACCUUACGUGCCCCACACAGAUGGUGCAUCAGAGAAUCCACAUUGAAAUGAAAGCAAAGAAUGUAGUGAGAGUGGCAAAAGCUUCAGGUAGAGCUCAGCACCCUCAUGAGCACUAGGUGGCGACACUGAGCCAAAACUUCGUCCUUGUGUCAUGUGUGGGAAAAGCUUGAGGUAAAGCUCAUGCCUCAUGGUGCCCCAGAGAAUCCAGCUAGGGGGAGACCCUACAAUGCAAUGGUGUCAGGUGGCUUCUGCCCCAGCAUAACCUUCAUGAUGCACAGCAGAGAAGCCCUGCAAAUCCUGGAUGUGGGAAAGUUUUGGUCAUGGCACCAGCUUAAUUUUACAUUAUAGAAUCUCCUGGAGAGAAAACUUACCAGUGUUGUGCAUGGGAGAAGAGAUGUGGUGGCAGCUCUCAUCUUUGAAGAUACCAGAAAACCCACAGCUCAGGAAUGGUUCAACAGGGGAGAGUUCUAUGAGAUUCGAUUUCCUUGGUCAUAGGCAACUUACUGGGCAACGAGAGAAUUCACUACCCAAAAGGUUGUUCUUUCUUCCUGGAUCCAAACCACCGGAGCUGCACUUUCUGGUUGGGAAGGGCAGGCAACGAUGGAUGUGGUGACUGAAUGGCAGCAAAAAACUUUUCAGUCAAAUGUUCAAAUCGUAAAACUGUCAACUUUUUUCCUGCAACGAGGAGCAAUGAGAGAAAGAUGGAAAACUACAGAUCAAUGUCGUUUUCAGCAGAGAAAGAAGAUUCUGGCAAGCAGAGCUUUUUAACAUGGAAGAGGCUGCGUUGGGAGGCAAUGAACUCCUCAUCACUGGGAGAGGUUCAUGCAGAAACUGGAUAAUCAGCUGCCAGAAUGUCUUCUCCAGUUCAACACAAUUAAGCACUUGUUACAUGCACCGGCCUAUAGACUGAAAGGGGAUUCCUCCAUUGAGUGGGAGGUUGGGUUUGAUAAUCCCACAGGACCCAUUACAAUUCAAAGAUUCUCUAAUUGAAUGAUUUUAUCACAUCUUGGAUCAAAACUGUUUUUCACACAGAUGACAAGAACAGAGUUUCACCGCUUUAUAAUGUUUGAUGUUUAAUAAUAUAAGACAUAGUUUUAAGAGCUCAGCUUUUGGAGGCAGUGAUCUGAGUUCAGAUGCUGGUUCUGCCACAUAUGGGCUAUGUGACUUUGAGCAAAUGAAUGAACUAAUCUGAACCUCAGUUUUUCCCAACUGUAAGAUGAGGGUGCUAAUACUUGAAACCAGCUCAUAAUGCAGUGAGGAUUAAGUGAGAUGAUCUACAUAAAGUGCUUAGCAUGAUGUUUAGAACAUGGUAAAUGCUCAAUAAACAUUACCACCAGGCUUUAUUGAAGUGUCAUUCUCAACUAAGUCUUACACCUGACCUUUAGCUCUGUGAUUCUGUUUGCAGGAGACAAGAGUCUCCAUAAAUGCCAACAAGGAGGGCCUCUGACACACACAUUUUGCAUUAAGUUGGUGGUUAUCCGUCCUGUGUCAUUUUUCUCUCUUCAAGCAAUCAAUAGCUUUCACCAAGAGCCACCCAAUUCCGAAUCCUUAUAUUAUUUCCAUUUUUUCCCCAAACCAUACCGAAG
RNAcentral lists this long non-coding RNA (3922 nucleotides) under Equus caballus (horse). RNAcentral describes it as "lncRNA (ENSECAG00000056329.1)". Lineage: Eukaryota; Metazoa; Chordata; Mammalia; Perissodactyla; Equidae. The record is from RNAcentral.